UACGUAGGCAGCGAGCGUUGUUCGGAGUUACUGGGCGUAAAGAGUGCGUAGGCGGUUUUCUAAGUUUGGUGUGAAAUCUCCCGGCUCAACUGGGAGGGUGCGCCGAAGACUGGAAGGCUUGAGUAUGGGAGAGGUAAGCGGAAUUCCUGGUGUAGCGGUGAAAUGCGUAGAUAUCAGGAGGAACACCGGUGGCGAAGGCGGCUUGCUGGGCCAGUUCUGACGCUGAGGAGCGAAAGCGUGGGGAGCGAACAGG
Molecule: ribosomal RNA, 253 nt
Filed under: uncultured bacterium
Lineage: Bacteria
Description: partial 16S ribosomal RNA
Rfam family: Bacterial small subunit ribosomal RNA
Source: RNAcentral